GACGAACGCUGGCGGCGUGCUAACACAUGCAAGUCGAACGAUGAACCCGGAGCUUGCUCCGGCGGAUUAGUGGCGAACGGGUGAGUAACACGUGAGUAACCUGCCCUUGACUCUGGGAUAACUGCUAGAAAAGGUAGCUAAUACCGGAUACGACCCUCGGUGGCAUCACCAGGGGGUGGAAAGAAUUUCGGUCAAGGAUGGACUCGCGGCCUAUCAGCUAGUUGGUGAGGUAACGGCUCACCAAGGCGACGACGGGUAGCCGGCCUGAGAGGGUGACCGGCCACACUGGGACUGAGACACGGCCCAGACUCCGACGGGAGGCAGCAGUGGGGAAUAUUGCACGAUGGGCGCAAGCCUGAUGCAGCAACGCCGCGUGAGGGAUGACGGCCUUCGGGUUGUAAACCUCUUUUAGUAGGGAAGAAGCGAAAGUGACGGUACCUGCAGAAAAAGCACCGGCUAACUACGUGCCAGCCGCCGCCGUAA
RNAcentral lists this ribosomal RNA (483 nucleotides) under uncultured bacterium. RNAcentral's name for it is "partial 16S ribosomal RNA". It matches the Rfam family "Bacterial small subunit ribosomal RNA", at positions 28 to 523 of the family's 1533-position model. The record is from RNAcentral.